This 116-nucleotide ribosomal RNA is filed under the name Pteropus alecto (black flying fox). The record is from RNAcentral. Lineage: Eukaryota; Metazoa; Chordata; Mammalia; Chiroptera; Pteropodidae.
GUCUAUGGCCAUGCCACCCUACACAAGCCCAAUGUCUGAUCUCGGAAGCUAAGCAGGAUCGGGCCUGGUUAGUACUUGGAUUGGAGACCACCUAGGAAGACGAGGAGCUGUAGGCA